GAUGAACGCUGGCGGCGUGCCUAACACAUGCAAGUCGAGCGAGAAGCUCAUGAUUGAAACUUCGGUUGAUUGAAGGAGCGGAAAGCGGCGGACGGGUGAGUAACGCGUAGGCAACCUGCCCUCAGCAGGGGGAUAGCCAUUGGAAACGAUGAUUAAGACCCCAUAAUACAGACAUUUCACAUGUAAUGUCUGCCAAAGAUUUAUCGGCUGAGGAUGGGCCUGCGUCUGAUUAGAUAGUUGGUGGGGUAACGGCUCACCAAGUCGACGAUCAGUAGCCGACCUGAGAGGGUGAUCGGCCACAUUGGAACUGAGACACGGUCCAAACUCC
RNAcentral lists this ribosomal RNA (328 nucleotides) under uncultured Clostridiaceae bacterium. RNAcentral describes it as "bacterial SSU rRNA". It matches the Rfam family "Bacterial small subunit ribosomal RNA", at positions 28 to 339 of the family's 1533-position model. The record is from RNAcentral. Lineage: Bacteria; Bacillati; Bacillota; Clostridia; Eubacteriales; Clostridiaceae.